AAAAAAAUUCCCCAAACAUAUCAAUUUUUCGCCGCUAUGGAGAAAGUAACUUGGAAUGUUAACGAAAUUGACGCACUUGAUAAGGACUAAAAUCGCAGUCGAAACGUAGUGCCGUUUGUAUAAUUUUUUGCCAGUCAUGGUCAAGGAAUAAAUAGAGUUAAGGUUAUAUAUAUUUAUAUUAAAAAUCAAAUGCAUUUAUUUGUAAAAUAUAAAUUGCUUAUAUAUUAAUUUGUUUCAAUAUAUUAAUAAUAUGCGUACAUACUCUUAUAUUUGUUUGUCUUUUAAUAUUGGUGCAAUAACAGUUUAGAAUAAUAGAAUAUUAUAUAUAGAAAUAAUAGAAAUUGCAAUGAAAAAUAUAAAACG
Molecule: long non-coding RNA, 363 nt
Organism: Ooceraea biroi (clonal raider ant)
Lineage: Eukaryota; Metazoa; Arthropoda; Insecta; Hymenoptera; Formicidae
Source: RefSeq, a predicted model, not a curated record